This is a non-coding RNA of Pimephales promelas (fathead minnow), 894 nucleotides long. Lineage: Eukaryota; Metazoa; Chordata; Actinopteri; Cypriniformes; Leuciscidae. The record is from RefSeq and is a predicted model, not a curated record.
AAAGUGCAGUUUUCCUCCGCUCCUCAAGGCGGCAGAAGCGGGUUCUCCUUCAGUCUGACGCUUCUGCUGCUUGACAACAUGACGCUUGAUGACAAUCACAACAACACGAGCAGAUCCUGCAGAUGAGAAGAUGACAGCUCUUAAUGUCACUUUAACAGCACAUAUUACAGCUCAACCGCAAAUAAAACCGACGCAAUCAAACGACACAUAAAUGAGGAACCGAGUACGGCACAAGACUCACCUAAGGAAUUUGUUUGGACCAUUACAUCCAGUCAUCAGAAGCAGAGCUGUGGGACGUGUGGACAGACAUUGACUGUAAUGAUGGACUUCUGCUGAUGGACAGAUCCCAGUCAUAACAGGAAGUAGAAUAAAAGCAGGAAGCAACAGGAGAACGUCAGAGCUUCACACAAGACACAACUCCUGCUGACUCUCACAUACACCCAGAAAACACUGCAAUAUCAACUGAGUCCUUCUUAUUACACUUUACAGUGUGAAUAUCAGAGGGCGAUUCAUUCAAAGAUUAAAAAGGUAACGCUACAAUAGCGACUGACAAGAGAACUUGACUUCAUGCUAAAGUAAAAGUUACUUACAGGAUCUGCUCGCGUUGUUGUGAUUGUCAUCAAGUGUCAUGUUGUCAAGCAGCAGAAGCGUCAGACUGAAGGAGAACCCGCUUCUGCCGCCUUGAGGAGCGGAGGAAAACUGCACUUUACUCUCGUCGGGUUUUGGGGCGAGAUCACAUCUGAGACUUUGGAUUAAAGUUCCUGUAAAAUUACAGCAGCAACAUGUUUGACAAGCUCUGUGGUGCAGAAAAUAAUGAUUUCCUUUGAAUGAGAAAGUCUAGUUUUUUGUAUAUAUAUAUAUGUGUGUGUGUGUGUGUGUGUGUGUGUGUGUGUG